Molecule: ribosomal RNA, 305 nt
Filed under: uncultured bacterium
Lineage: Bacteria
Description: bacterial SSU rRNA
Rfam family: Bacterial small subunit ribosomal RNA
Source: RNAcentral
GUUUACCUACGGGGCGCAGCAGUCAGGAAUAUUGCGCAAUGGAGGAAACUCUGACGCAGUGACGCCGCGUGCAGGAAGAAGGUUUUCGGAUUGUAAACUGCUUUAGACAGGGAAGAAAAAAGACAGUACCUGUAGAAUAAGCUCCGGCUAACUACGUGCCAGCAGCCGCGGUAAUACGUAGGGAGCAAACGUUAUCCGGAUUUAUUGGGUGUAAAGGGUGCGUAGACGGGAAUGCAAGUUGGUUGUGCAAUCCCUCGGCUUAAUUGAGUAACUGCAACCAAAACUACAUUUCUUGAGUGCUGGCG